UACGGGGGGGGCAAGCGUUGUUCGGAAUUACUGGGCGUAAAGGGCUCGUAGGUGGCCAACUAAGUCAGACGUGAAAUCCCCAGGCUUAACCUGGGAACUGCGUCUGAUACUGGAUGGCUUGAAUUCGGGAGAGGGAUGCAGAAUUCCAGGUGUAGCGGUGAAAUGCGUAGAUAUCUGGAGGAAUACCGGUGGCGAAGGCGGCAUCCUGGACCGAGAUUGACACUGAGGCGCGAAAGCCAGGGGAGCAAACGGG
This 253-nucleotide ribosomal RNA is filed under the name uncultured bacterium. RNAcentral's name for it is "partial 16S ribosomal RNA". It matches the Rfam family "Bacterial small subunit ribosomal RNA", at positions 524 to 776 of the family's 1533-position model. The record is from RNAcentral.